RNAcentral lists this transfer RNA (67 nucleotides) under Pinctada albina. RNAcentral's name for it is "tRNA-Met". Lineage: Eukaryota; Metazoa; Mollusca; Bivalvia; Pterioida; Pteriidae. The record is from RNAcentral.
UUCAAAGUAGGUUAAGUUUAGAGACUGCAGGUCUCAUAAGCCUGAGGUGCCGAAAUAGCCUUUGGAA